AGACUUUGAUCCUGGCUCAGGAUGAACGCUGGCGGUCUGCUUAACACAUGCAAGUCGAACGGUGAACCUUCGGGUUCAUAGUGGCGGACGGGUGAGUAACACGUGAGAAUCUGCCUCCAGGUCGGGGACAACAGCGGGAAACUGCUGCUAAUACCCGAUGUGCCUACUAGGUGAAAGAUUUAUUGCCUGGAGAUGAGCUCGCGUCCGAUUAGCUAGUUGGUAAGGUAAAGGCUUACCAAGGCUCCGAUCGGUAGCUGGUCUGAGAGGAUGAGCAGCCACACUGGGACUGAGACACGGCCCAGACUCCUACGGGAGGCAGCAGUGGGGAAUUUUCCGCAAUGGGCGAAAGCCUGACGGAGCAAGACCGCGUGGGGGAUGAAGGCUCUUGGGUUGUAAACCCCUUUUCUCAGGGAAGAAGUUCUGACGGUACCUGAGGAAUCAGCAUCGGCUA
RNAcentral lists this ribosomal RNA (451 nucleotides) under uncultured Oscillatoriales cyanobacterium. RNAcentral describes it as "bacterial SSU rRNA". It matches the Rfam family "Bacterial small subunit ribosomal RNA", at positions 8 to 499 of the family's 1533-position model. Lineage: Bacteria; Bacillati; Cyanobacteriota; Cyanophyceae; Oscillatoriales. The record is from RNAcentral.